RNAcentral lists this transfer RNA (1492 nucleotides) under Sus scrofa (pig). Its description in RNAcentral is "lncRNA (ENSSSCG00000051845.1, ENSSSCG00130007675.1)". The record is from RNAcentral. Lineage: Eukaryota; Metazoa; Chordata; Mammalia; Artiodactyla; Suidae.
UUUUGAUAGCAGCACAGUGAAUCCAGCUUUAGCAAUUAAGGCUUCUACCUAUGGUAGAACUGAAAUUUAAUUUUAAUUCAUAAAUAGUCAGAUUUUCGAGCCUCCACAUGCAUUUUGUCGACAUUUGUCCACAUUACAAAAACACAACGCCAGAUGACACAUUCUGGCACUGCAUUUCAUCUCCAUUUGAGAGACAGAGAAUUGUAAUGGGGAGUUGGCAGAGGUGUGUAUCUGCACUUCGAGCUGGUGGGAGCAUUCUGUUCCUCUUUGAAGCUCUGAAAGGCAUCACUUCUAAGCUGUGGGGAAAUGGCCGGACUCUCCAUGAUGCCAGCAUUUCACCAUCAUGAGUUGAUCCAGGACCCCAGAACACACAACUCAGCCAUCGAUGGCAUUCUAGCAAAAUAACCAAAACAGAGAGCUGUCAAACUGGGGGCCGCAGCCUAGCGACCACUCAGCUGUUAUGUGUAAUGUAAACACAGCACGGUCUCCAUCCAAAAACAUUUGCUAAAAAACCUAAUUGCCAUUCUGGGGUGAUUCUGAGAACGACAAGGGCGUGAAGCAAAGCCCUCAAGGAGAAGGACCUGGAAUUAGGGUUAGGGUUAGGGUUAGGCCUCAGAGGCCUCAGAGAUCACAAAUGCCACAGGGGCCAGUGGAGCACACAUACAGGGGCCCAAGAAGCAUGCUGGGCCACGUGCGACCACCCAGUCAUGCGUGUGGCAUGUAGAAUUUCCUCAUUUGACAUUUUCCAUCCUUUGCUCACAAUCAGUUUCUCACAAUCAAUUAAUGCGUAUUUUUGAGGACCUGCUCUGUGCAGGGUCCCAUGUUUGUAUCUGUGGCCAUCUCCCCAACUGAGCAGACUCAGAAAAGACCAAACAGUGACCUUUCUCGAUGCUUUUUUGUUUGUUUGUUUGUUUGUUUUUGGCCUCAGCGUGUAGUAGCUUGAUGUGGGAUCUCAGUUCCCAGACUAGGGAUCAAAUCCAGACCUCAGUGGUGAAACCGCUGACUCCUAACCACUAGACCACCAGGGAACUCACCCAUGUUUAAUUGAAAGAACUAUACAAGGAAAACAAUCUUGUCAUUAAAAUGUUGAAUAUUAAUGUUAAAAAAAUUCAUGUAGAAUUGAGUUACUUAGGUAUGGAGGGAGUUUCUGUUCUGAGGGAAACUCCAUGAUAGAGCAUUUGAAAGAAGAGACGGGAACUAAUGUUUAAUGAGCUUCUAGUCUGUAGCCGUGCUUAAAGAAAUAAGACAGAAUAGGAGUUCCCGUUGUGGCUCUGUGGUUAACGAAUCCGACCAGGAACCAUGUGGUUGCGGGUUCGAUUCCCUGGCCUUGCUCAGGGGGUUGAGGAUCCGGCGUUGCCGUGAGCUGUGGUGUAGGUCGCAGACGCGGCUCGGAUCCCACAUUGCUGUGGCUCUGGUGUAGGCUGGCAGCUGCAGCUCCGAUUGAACCCCUAGCCUGGGAAUCUCCAUAUGCUGCGGGAGCAGCCCAAGAAAU